AGAAAGAUGGCCUUGUGGAUAAAGCACUGGACUAGGACUCAAGAGACCUGGGUUUAAUUCCCAGUUCUGCUG
This 72-nucleotide transfer RNA is filed under the name Chelonia mydas (Green sea turtle). It matches the Rfam family "tRNA". Rfam says of the family: Transfer RNA (tRNA) molecules are approximately 80 nucleotides in length. Their secondary structure includes four short double-helical elements and three loops (D, anti-codon, and T loops). Lineage: Eukaryota; Metazoa; Chordata; Testudines; Cheloniidae. The record is from Rfam by way of RNAcentral.